GGGAAAAUGCGCGCUUCCUGUAGGUUCGUACGAAAUUACCUUCCCUAAUCUGAGGAUUAACGCUGUUAGCCAUUUCGUCCCAGUCCGCCAAACGCAGAGAAAGUGCGCGUAGUUUGUCCGGUUUCGUUUGUGCAAAAUAAAUCACUAAAAGUGAUUAGCUAGUAGCUACGUGCGUAGAAUUGUGUGCAAAAGGUUACAGAAAGGUAAAUGUGCUCAAAGUAAAGUGGCAUUGACCCCCACAAACGUGCUAAUGACCCCGUUUGCAAUAGCCAGACGGCCUUUUUC
Topomyia yanbarensis is the source of this 285-nucleotide long non-coding RNA. RefSeq lists it as uncharacterized. NCBI's taxonomy places the organism in Eukaryota, Metazoa, Arthropoda, Insecta, Diptera, Culicidae. The transcript is spliced from 2 exons. The record is from RefSeq and is a predicted model, not a curated record.